AAUGAACGCUGGCGGCAUGCCUAACACAUGCAAGUCGAACGAAGUCUUCGGACUUAGUGGCGCACGGGUGCGUAACGCGUGGGAAUCUGCCCUUGGGUACGGAAUAACUCAGAGAAAUUUGUGCUAAUACCGUAUAAUGUCUUCGGACCAAAGAUUUAUCGCCCAAGGAUGAGCCCGCGUAGGAUUAGGUAGUUGGUGAGGUAAAAGCUCACCAAGCCGACGAUCCUUAGCUGGUCUGAGAGGAUGAUCAGCCACACUGGGACUGAGACACGGCCCAGACUCCUACGGGAGGCAGCAGUGGGGGAAUAUUGGACAAUGGGCGGCAAGCCUGAUCCAGCAAUGCCGCGUGAGUGAUGAAGGACCUUAGGGUUGUUAAAGACUCUUUUACCCGGGUACGUGAUAAUAGACAGUACCGGGACGGAAGUAAAGACUCCGGCCGUAACUUA
This 446-nucleotide ribosomal RNA is filed under the name uncultured bacterium. Its description in RNAcentral is "bacterial SSU rRNA". It matches the Rfam family "Bacterial small subunit ribosomal RNA", at positions 29 to 512 of the family's 1533-position model. The record is from RNAcentral.